CCUACGGGCGGCUGCAGUAAGGAAUAUUGGUCAAUGGAGGAAACUCUGAACCAGCCAUCCCGCGUGAAGGAUGAAGGGGCUCUGCCUUGUAAACUUCUUUUGUCUGGGGCGAAAAAGCUCGAUUUAUCGAGAACUGACGGUACCAGAAGAAUAAGCACCGGCUAACUCCGUGCCAGCAGCCGCGGUAAUACGGAGGGUGCAAGCAUUAUUGGGAUUCACGGGGUUUAAGGGGUGCUAGGGAGGCAGAGUUGAAAGGCUGUGGCUUAACCAUGGAAUUGCCAUUGAUACUGCAGAGCUUGAAUGAGGUUGAGGUUGGCGGAAUGUGACAUGUAGCGGUGAAAUGCUUAGAUAUGUCAUGGAACACCGAUUGCGGAGGCAGCUGACUGGACCUAUAUUGACGCUGAGGCACGAAAGCGUGGGGAGCGAACAGGAUUAGAUACCCGUGUAGUC
RNAcentral lists this ribosomal RNA (450 nucleotides) under uncultured bacterium. RNAcentral's name for it is "partial 16S ribosomal RNA". It matches the Rfam family "Bacterial small subunit ribosomal RNA", at positions 338 to 795 of the family's 1533-position model. The record is from RNAcentral.